UACGGGGGGGGCAAGCGUUGUUCGGAAUUACUGGGCGUAAGGGGCUCGUAGGCGGCCAACUAAGUCAGACGUGAAAUCCCCAGGCUCAACCUGGGAACUGCGUCUGAUACUGGAUGGCUUGAAUUCGGGAGAGGGAUGCAGAAUUCCAGGUGUAGCGGUGAAAUGCGUAGAUAUCUGGAGGAAUACCGGUGGCGAAGGCGGCAUCCUGGACCGACAUUGACGCUGAUGAGCGAAAGCUAGGGGAGCAAACGGG
Molecule: ribosomal RNA, 253 nt
Filed under: uncultured bacterium
Lineage: Bacteria
Description: partial 16S ribosomal RNA
Rfam family: Bacterial small subunit ribosomal RNA
Source: RNAcentral